AGAUAAAGAGAGAUCAGAAAUACAAGAGGCAGAGGAAGCAAGGUGGAAGAGGAUUAAGGAAUGCAUCAAAGUAUGGACAUAGACAUGGAUAUUAGCAUUAGGACUGACUGAAAUGGAUUGGCUUGAUUUUUAAUGCCAUAUUAAUUGUUAUUUUUGUAGUUGCAACUCUACUGCCAUCUAAUAAUGAA
Amphimedon queenslandica is the source of this 188-nucleotide long non-coding RNA. RefSeq lists it as uncharacterized. Lineage: Eukaryota; Metazoa; Porifera; Demospongiae; Haplosclerida; Niphatidae. The transcript is spliced from 2 exons. The record is from RefSeq and is a predicted model, not a curated record.